UGCGUUCGAUAAGUCAUAACGACUCUCGGCAACGGAUAUCUCGGCUCUCGCAUCGAUGAAGAACGUAGCGAAAUGCGAUACGUGGUGUGAAUUGCAGGAUCCCGUGAACCAUCGAGUUUUUGAACGCAAGUUGCGCCCGAAGCCACUAGGCCAA
This 154-nucleotide ribosomal RNA is filed under the name Dendrocnide sp. WuZY-09035. RNAcentral describes it as "5.8S ribosomal RNA". The stretch from base 21 to 154 matches the Rfam family "5.8S ribosomal RNA", at positions 1 to 132 of the family's 154-position model. Rfam says of the family: 5.8S ribosomal RNA (5.8S rRNA) is a component of the large subunit of the eukaryotic ribosome. It is transcribed by RNA polymerase I as part of the 45S precursor that also contains 18S and 28S rRNA. Lineage: Eukaryota; Viridiplantae; Streptophyta; Magnoliopsida; Rosales; Urticaceae. The record is from RNAcentral.